This 127-nucleotide ribosomal RNA is filed under the name Periophthalmus magnuspinnatus. The record is from RNAcentral. Lineage: Eukaryota; Metazoa; Chordata; Actinopteri; Gobiiformes; Gobiidae.
GGAUGUUGUGAUAUCAUCCCAGCAAGACCUUUUUGUCAAUGCUUGAUCUUGAUCUGAAACUGAGCCGGGUUGGGCCUGGUUAGUACUUGGAUGGGAAAUCCGUUGUGAAUAGCAGGUGCCACACUAU